AUCUCUAUCUGCCCUGCUCGGCUUCACCUCAUCUUAGGCAUCAUCCUGAAACUCGACCCUGUUCUUUUCCUUCUUUGUCUUUUCCACCAGAACCACUGCCAACAUGUGAUUUCACUUAUCUUACAGACUAAUGGUCAUCUCCCAGUCUCUUCCCUUUCCCUCUCUCUCCUCACCGUGGCAGAGCUUGAUGAAGGAAGGAAUCUGUAUGUUUCGCCUAAGUUUCAAAUUCCUCGUCUCGAAAAAAAAAACGUGGAGAUGUGGUCUGCUACACACACCUACACAAAAAUGCUGCCGUGAAGAAAUGCAAACCAAGCAAUGCGUUCAAAGAGAGGUUUCUGUUUAUUUCAUGAUGUUUGUUUGUCUCAUUUGCAGCACAGACAAACUGCUGCAGUGAUUCUCAUGCUGAGUAUUGAAAACAGAAGACUUCAUAUGUAGUGGUCCCUGAAGGCAGCAUCCUCCUGUUUCCACCAAAAGCUAAUGAGGGUCUGGAGCUCUCUUCAAGUUACAGUAACGCUCAUCAGAGAAUCCCACUGCGCUCUGGUCUUCCUCCGUCAUCUCCUCUCGUCUCAUCGGGGCGUUUAUGAGGCACUGAGGCGCAGUCCUACAUCUGCGGCAGCCAUCAUCUCGUGAAGGAGGGUCAAAAGAUCCAGAGACUGUUUUGGAACGAUCCGUGAAAAGGAACGGCUGUGAUGUGGGAUUCAGAAAUGUAAUGUGAUCUAUUCUCGAGAUGGGAACUUCACGUUACGAGCAAACGCCGGGCAAAAUGUGUUGUUUAUCUCCCCGAACGCGUUCAAGUGAAGGGAAAUCUCAGCGGGAGGAGGAAGACGCUGUUGGCUGAAACAAUUCAUCCCAAGAGAGAGUGAACAGACAGCCAAACAAGACGUGGAGCCAAAGGUUCCUUCAUUGGAGCCAAGAGAGUUUCAGAGUCCCCAAAGAGACGGGUUUACAAACAAGCGUAGAACAAAGCAUAAAGACACUCUCCAAGUUAUCAUUUUAGGGAAUUUUAUGGAUCGGUUUUCUGAUUUUCCGAUCAAAUCGAUCUAAUAGCUGAUCUGCUCUGGUCACAUCUGUGUUUUUUCUAUUAUUUCCUAAUACAACUUGCAUCAGUAGUUCUUUAAAAAACUCUAUCAUAGCGAUGCAAUAUUGGUACUGUAACCCGAAAUCCAAUCCAAACCUUGUGAAUCCGAAUUGACUGAAUAUAAAUCCCUGUUAUGGAGAUAAUGUGUAUUUGGGCCAUCUGGAUUCUCUAAGAGGUGAGCGUUGGGCUCUUUUAAAAGCAAUAAACGUCUCAAAUGUAA
Molecule: long non-coding RNA, 1298 nt
Organism: Gymnodraco acuticeps
Lineage: Eukaryota; Metazoa; Chordata; Actinopteri; Perciformes; Bathydraconidae
Exons: 2
Source: RefSeq, a predicted model, not a curated record